Long non-coding RNA from Dama dama (fallow deer), 1370 nucleotides. RefSeq lists it as uncharacterized. NCBI's taxonomy places the organism in Eukaryota, Metazoa, Chordata, Mammalia, Artiodactyla, Cervidae. The record is from RefSeq and is a predicted model, not a curated record. The transcript has 2 exons.
AUCGCGCAGCUUCUAGCCGGCUUAGAAGUCCGGGGUCCCUCCUUGCCGGGCCUCCCGUAAAAUCACUUCCCACUGUCCGCUCGACCUGAGCCGAAAGGCAGCUCAGAGGACGGAUCUCACAGGUGCGGGAGGCUGAUGGCCUAUACUGAGGAGUUUAGAAUCUAAACUUUAGAAGAGGAGCGGAUAAAUGGAGGAGGAAGAAGGAGGACCAUAGAGAGAAAUCUCAACUCCUUGGCCCUGUGUUCGUCACGUAUGGACGUGAGAGUUGCAUUAUAAAGAAAGCUGAGCGCUGAAGAAUCGAUGCUUCUGAACUGUGGUGUUGGAGAAGAUUCUUGAGAGUCCCUUGGACUGCAAGGAGAUCCAACCAGUCCAUCCUAAAGGAAAUCAGUCCUGAAUAUUCAUUGGACGGACUGAUACUGAAGCUGAAACUCCAAUAAAUACUUUGGCCACCUGAUGUGAAGAACUGACUCAUUGGAAAAGACUCUGAUGCUGGGAAAGAUUGAAGGCAGGAGGAAAAGGGGAUGACAGAGGAUGAGAUGGUUGGAUGGCAUCACUGACUCAAUGGACAUGAGUUUGAGUAAACUCCGGGAGUUGGUGAUGGACAGGGAGGCCUGGCGUGCUGCAGUCCAUGGGGUUGCAGAGUCGGACACGACUGAGUGACUGAACUGAAAUGCCCUGCGUUGGAAGGCCUUCAUGACGAAGUUCCUGCCAAGCUCACUGACCUCCUCUCACCACUUGGAUUGUGCAUCUGCCAAACACAACAUGUCAUAACCCCCAGUGAAACCCUCAUGCUUUCAUUUCUCCAGGUGCCAGGUCUUGGACUCUUCUCACUACCCAGAAUAACCUUUCCUGAUGGUUCCUGGCUGUUUCAUCAGGGCUUAAUUCCUCCAGAAAGCAACCUCUGACUCCUGCAUCGCUCCAGCUCCCAGGCUGACUGAGCCACUCCUUCAGGCUACUGGUUUUACAGGAAUGCUUGUAAAGCCCUUAUAUGACAGUUCCCUCUCUAGCUCCCAACUCGCCCCUGAUGCCUGCAACACAAACUCCAAGUUCUUCAGUCCAGUACCUGUGAUGUUUCAGCCAGCAUCAUCCCUGGCUGUGCACAUGAUGCUUGCAGCUGCUGCCGCACUUGUGAUAUGCUGUGCUUAGUCGCUCAGUCGUGUCUGACUCUUUGUGACCCCGUGGACUGUAGCCCACCAGAAACCUCUGUCCAUGGGGAUUCUCCAGGCAAGAAUACUGCUGUGGGUUGCCAUCCCCUCCUCCAGGGGAUCCUCCCAACCCAGGGAUCGAACCCAGGUCUCCUGCAUUUCAGGCAUAUUCUUUACUAUCUGAACCACCAAGAAAGCUCAAGAAUUCUGAUGUGGGUAGCUGUG